GGGUAGGUUGCAGAGCGGUCAAAUGCAUCAGACUGUAAAUCUGACGCCUUCGGGCUUCGGGGGUUCGAAUCCCUCCCUACCCACUA
Molecule: transfer RNA, 86 nt
Filed under: Candidatus Moraniibacteriota bacterium
Lineage: Bacteria; Candidatus Moraniibacteriota
Description: Candidatus Moranbacteria bacterium tRNA-Tyr
Rfam family: tRNA
About the family: Transfer RNA (tRNA) molecules are approximately 80 nucleotides in length. Their secondary structure includes four short double-helical elements and three loops (D, anti-codon, and T loops).
Source: RNAcentral